AAUAAAUACAAAAAUAGUAAAAAAUAUCAUGGCAAUGAGAAUGAUACAUGAUAAAAGUUCGUCAAUAUCUAUAUGAUGAUUUAAUACUAGAUGAGGACAAGAAAAUUAAUAAAAACUCUGGCUGGAUUAAUGAAUUUGUAUAUGGAUGAUUCAAAAUCCAAGUUACAAUCUUGGGUCAGUUAUGUUGUGAUUUAUGUAAAAAUCAAUUUACAUAUCAAUGUGAUGAAACUUAUGAUGGCUAAGUGGCAUGCUGCUUCCACUUUCUAUCUGCCAUCUCAUUCAGUAAUAGACAAUGUCAAAGUGAGAUGCAGUUUUAGAUAAUCUUAUUGUUUAGUAAUAGUGUAAGUUGUGAUUGAUAAAUAAAUUUUUCUCAAACUGUUAGCAGUGCGAUUAAUUUGUGAGAGAUCAGCUUUAGCUGAAUCUUCACAUCUUGCAUAAGUCACAGCUUUUGUGUGUGUGUGUGUGUGUGUGUGUGUGUGUGUGUGUGUGUGUGU
Molecule: long non-coding RNA, 494 nt
Filed under: Androctonus crassicauda
Lineage: Eukaryota; Metazoa; Arthropoda; Arachnida; Scorpiones; Buthidae
Source: RNAcentral